GAAGGCAGAUCGUGAGGACUGCUGGAGCGCUUAGAAGUGAGAAUGCCGGUAUGAGUAGCGAAAGACAGGUGAGAAUCCUGUCCACCGAAUGACUAAGGUUUCCUGGGGAAGGCUCGUCCGCCCAGGGUUAGUCGGGACCUAAGCCGAGGCCGACAGGCGUAGGCGAUGGAUAACAGGUUGAUAUUCCUGUACCCGUUGUUUUUGUUUGAGCAAUGGAGGGACGCAGGAGGCUAAGGAAUGCAGACGAUCGGAAAUGUCUGUCCAAGCAG
This 269-nucleotide ribosomal RNA is filed under the name Enterococcus faecium. RNAcentral describes it as "partial 23S ribosomal RNA". It matches the Rfam family "Bacterial large subunit ribosomal RNA", at positions 1252 to 1519 of the family's 2925-position model. The record is from RNAcentral. Lineage: Bacteria; Bacillati; Bacillota; Bacilli; Lactobacillales; Enterococcaceae.